This 241-nucleotide ribosomal RNA is filed under the name uncultured bacterium. RNAcentral's name for it is "partial 16S ribosomal RNA". It matches the Rfam family "Bacterial small subunit ribosomal RNA", at positions 32 to 248 of the family's 1533-position model. The record is from RNAcentral.
AAUCAACGCUGGCGGCGUGCCUAACACAUGCAAGUCGAACGCGAAAGCCCCUUCGGGGGUAAGUAGAGUGGCGUCCGGGUGAGUAACACGUAGGUAAUCUACCUUCGGGUGGGGGAAGUAACUACGCCGAAAGGACGAGCUAAUACCGCAUAAUGCAGCGGCACCUAAUGGUGAUUAGUUGUUAAAGCGGGGGAGUCGUAAGACCUCGCGCCUGAAGAGGAGCCUGCGGCAGAUUAGCUAG